Molecule: long non-coding RNA, 688 nt
Filed under: Pongo abelii (Sumatran orangutan)
Lineage: Eukaryota; Metazoa; Chordata; Mammalia; Primates; Hominidae
Description: lncRNA (ENSPPYG00000040746.1)
Source: RNAcentral
AUGGCAGCAAAGGCCAAAGUCUUAUUUGAGUUAUUACCAUUAUUAUUCACAUUUGCCAUUUUAUUUCAAACUCACAGUGGCGGAAGUGGACUAAGACAUCAUGUUGCCUCAAGUUUAAUUGGAAAUCGUGAGAUGGGGUUUUACUAUGUUGGAGAAGCUAGUCUCAAACUCCUGGGCUCAAGUCAUCCUCCCGCCUCAGCCUGGUUAUUGAGAUUACAGACGUGUGCCUGGCCUAUUUUACUCGUUUUGAUAUUUUACUCAUGGCCAGAGCCACCUGGUUUCUGGCUGAGGAUAGCUGGUGGAAGAUGAGAGGGGCACACGUUGCACAAAGGAGUGUGCUGACUAUGCUCGAACACACAGAAGACAGAGAGAGAAAAGUGCUCGGUAUGCAAUAUGUAGAAUGAUUUUGCACAUCUAAUUUUUGUUAUUCAGGAGUACUACUUAGAAGAAAAAUACUACUGUUAAUCAGCAUCCAGUCAGAAAAAUAGAGCCCUCACAAGGUAGUUCAAUAGAGGUAAUUUAGUACAGAGAUCUGUUACAAAAGUCCUGAAAUCUGGGGCCAGCAUGAUUUUCUGUCAACAGAAUCUUUACCCCCACGCUGUUUCUUUCAUUUAAAAAAGAAUGAGGUAAAUGAAAAUUUUCUUUUCAGUUGCUUUCUUCUUAGAAAUAUUCUUCUUCAUAUAGAUUC